RNAcentral lists this ribosomal RNA (284 nucleotides) under uncultured diatom. Its description in RNAcentral is "partial 18S ribosomal RNA". It matches the Rfam family "Eukaryotic small subunit ribosomal RNA", at positions 598 to 888 of the family's 1831-position model. Lineage: Eukaryota; Bacillariophyta. The record is from RNAcentral.
CGUAUAUUAACGUUGUUGCAGUUAAAAAGCUCGUAGUUGGAUUUGUGGUUCUUUGCAUGGUCCCAGCAAAUUGUUGGGUGCCGUUGCGAGGACCAUCCUUGGGUGGAAUCUGUGUGGCAUUAGGUUGUCGCGCAGGGGAUGCCCAUCGUUUACUGUGAAAAAAUUAGAGUGUUCAAAGCAGGCUUAUGCCGUUGAAUAUAUUAGCAUGGAAUAAUGAGAUAGGACCUUGGUACUAUUUUGUUGGUUUGCGCACCGAGGUAAUGAUUAAUAGGGACAGUUGGGGG